UGAUUUGAUAGCCCUUCUAGUAUACUAGUCAGUAGUCAGCACCAUUGGACCAUAUAGGUGUCAUCCCCAUUGGACCAUACAGGUGUCUUCACCAUCAGACCAUACAGGUGUCGUCACCAUUGGACCAUACAGGUGUCUUCACCAUCGGACCAUACAGGUGUCUUCACCAUCAGACCAUAUAGGUGUCGUCACCAUCAGACCAUACAGGUGUUGUCACCAUUGGACCAUACAGGUGUCUUCACCAUUGGACCAUACAGGUGUCUUCACCAUCAGACCAUACAGGUGUCGUCACCAUUGGACCAUACAGGUGUCUUCACCAUCAGACCAUACAGGUGUCUUCACCAUCAGACCAUAUAGGUGUCAUCACCAUUGGACCAUACAGGUGUCUUCACCAUCAGACCAUAUAGGUGUCUU
This 414-nucleotide long non-coding RNA is filed under the name Haliotis rubra (blacklip abalone). RNAcentral describes it as "uncharacterized LOC124281227, transcript variant X3". Lineage: Eukaryota; Metazoa; Mollusca; Gastropoda; Lepetellida; Haliotidae. The record is from RNAcentral.